CCCUUAGAUGUUCUGGGCCGCACGCGCGCUACACUGAUGCAUUCAACGAGCACUCGCUUGGCCGAGAGGUCAGGCUAAUCUUUGAACGUGCAUCGUGCUGGGGAUAGAUGAUUGCAAUUAUUCAUCUUCAACGAGGAAUUCCUAGUAAACGCAAGUCAUCAGCUUGCAUUGAUUACGUCCCUGCCCUUUGUACACACCGCCCGUCACACCUACCGAUUGAAUGGUCCGGUGAAAUUCUCGGACGACGCCAGGGAAUGUUAAUUCGGCACCUGGUGUUGAAAGUUAAUUAAACCUUACCAUUUAGAGGAAGGUGAAGUCGUAACA
This 324-nucleotide ribosomal RNA is filed under the name uncultured eukaryote. Its description in RNAcentral is "partial 18S ribosomal RNA". It matches the Rfam family "Eukaryotic small subunit ribosomal RNA", at positions 1470 to 1796 of the family's 1831-position model. The record is from RNAcentral.